Molecule: ribosomal RNA, 458 nt
Filed under: uncultured bacterium
Lineage: Bacteria
Description: partial 16S ribosomal RNA
Rfam family: Bacterial small subunit ribosomal RNA
Source: RNAcentral
CCUACGGGUGGCAGCAGUGAGGAAUAUUGGUCAAUGGCCAUAAGGCUGAUCCAGCCAAGCCGCGUGUAGGAAGAAGGAUCUAUGGUUUUUAAACUUUUUUUAUGGGGGAAUAGAGAUAUCCACGUGUGGAUAUUUGCAUUUACCCUAUGAAUAAGCAUCGGAUAACUCCGUGCCAGCCGCCGCGUUAAGACGGGGGAUACGAGCGUUAUACGGAUUUAUUGGGUUUAAAGUGUGCGUAGGUUGUUUUUUAAGUCAGCGGUGAAAGUUUGUGGCUCAACCAUAAAAUUGCCGGUGAACCUGGAGGACUUGAGUGUGUGUGAGGUAGGCGGAAUGCGGGGUGGAGCGGUGAAAUGCAUAGAUAUCACGCAGAACUCCGAGUGCGAAGGCAGCUUACGACGCCAUAACUGACACUGAAGCACGAAAGCGUGGGGAUCAAACAGGAUUAGAUACCCCAAGUC